UGAGUAAUGCCUAGGAAUCUGCCAGGUAGUGGGGGACAACGUUUCGAAAGGAACGCUAAUACCGCAUACGUCCUACGGGAGAAAGCAGGGGACCUUCGGGCCUUGCGCUAUCAGAUGAGCCUAGGUCGGAUUAGCUAGUUGGUGAGGUAAUGGCUCACCAAGGCGACGAUCCGUAACUGGUCUGAGAGGAUGAUCAGUCACACUGGAACUGAGACACGGUCCAGACUCCUACGGGAGGCAGCAGUGGGGAAUAUUGGACAAUGGGCGAAAGCCUGAUCCAGCCAUGCCGCGUGUGUGAAGAAGGUCUUCGGAUUGUAAAGCACUUUAAGUUGGGAGGAAGGGCAGUAAGCUAAUACCUUGCUGUUUUGACGUUACCGACAGAAUAAGCACCGGCUAACUCUGUGCCAGCAGCCGCGGUAAUACAGAGGGUGCAAGCGUUAAUCGGAAUUACUGGGCGUAAAGCGCGCGUAGGUGGUUUGUUAAGUUGGAUGUGAAAGCCCCGGG
RNAcentral lists this ribosomal RNA (504 nucleotides) under uncultured bacterium. RNAcentral's name for it is "bacterial SSU rRNA". It matches the Rfam family "Bacterial small subunit ribosomal RNA", at positions 107 to 607 of the family's 1533-position model. The record is from RNAcentral.